GACGAACGCUGGCGGCGCGCCUAACACAUGCAAGUCGAACGAGAGAGGAAGAGCUUGCUUUUCCGAUCGAGUGGCGAACGGGUGAGUAACGCGUGAGGAACCUGCCUCAAAGAGGGGGACAACAGUUGGAAACGACUGCUAAUACCGCAUAAGCCAACGGCUCGGCAUCGAGCAGAGGGAAGAGGAGCAAUCCGCUUUGAGAUGGCCUCGCGUCCGAUUAGCUAGUUGGUGAGGUAACGGCCCACCAAGGCGACGAUCGGUAGCCGGACUGAGAGGUUGAACGGCCACAUUGGGACUGAGACACGGCCCAGACUCCUACGGGAGGCAGCAGUGGGGAAUAUUGCACAAUGGGGGAAACCCUGAUGCAGCGACGCCACGUGGAGGAAGAAGGUCUUCGGAUUGUAAACUCCUGUUGUUGAGGAAGAUAAUGACGGUACUCAACAAGGAAGUGACGGCUAACUACGUGCCAGCAGCCGCCGUAA
RNAcentral lists this ribosomal RNA (482 nucleotides) under uncultured bacterium. Its description in RNAcentral is "partial 16S ribosomal RNA". It matches the Rfam family "Bacterial small subunit ribosomal RNA", at positions 28 to 523 of the family's 1533-position model. The record is from RNAcentral.